AUGCAGGUUAAACAAGAUAUUAAGAGAAUCUUUCCAGCUCCAGACAUCGACAGUUCUUUCGUCCAUUUAGGCCAUCCACUUGUUUUACCUUCUAAAGAUAGAUCGGCUGCUUAUAACUUUGUUUAUGAUAAAUUCAAGUCCAAACUUAGCACAUAUAAAGCCAACAGACUCUCUCAUGCGGCAAGAUUAACUCUCAUAAAAUAUGUUUUCUCUUCCAUUCCUGUAUAUUACAUGUCCAACAUACUUUUUUCAAAAAAGUUCCUUGCUAAACUAACAACAAUCAUUAGGAACUUUUGGUGGACAGGUAUUCAAGAUGAUCAGACUACUAGAAGCUUGUGCCUUAGGGUAUGGGCUGAUGUAUGUAUUGAGAAGAAAAUUGGUGGUCUUGGUGUUAGAAAUUUGCAGGCAAUCAACCAAGGACUUGUUCUCUCGACGGCAUGGAGAUUGGCAAAAGAGCCGCAAAGUCAGCUAGCAUUGAUUCUCAAGGCAAAGUAUCAUCAUGAUACAUCCAUUUGGAGAGCCCGGCCGAACAAACCUAAAUCUGCCUUUUGGUCUGCAAUUCUAAAGGUAAAGCCUCUUCUAAUCUCAGCCACAAUUUGCCAAAUUGUUGAUGGUGCUAGUUCUAUUUGGAGCUCGCCUUGGUUUUCCGGAUGGGAAACUAUUUAUGAUCAUCUUAUCAUUCAGCAACAAUCUUUUUCUUACCCUGCACAAGUUAAAGAUCUUUGGAUACCGGGUCAAAAGAACUGGAAUGCAAACUUGAUUAAUUCUCUUUUCACUCCUGAAUUGGCUAAUACCAUUCUACAAACUCCUAUUAUUAAGGCAAAUGGUAAGGAUAUGUUGGUUUGGAAACUAACUCCUGCAGGUGAAUUCUCUUCCAAAAGUGCUUACAAGCACUGCUUCAACAAUCUUCAGCUUCCACCAAGGCAAAGGCCCAAAAUUGUCCCUAUGCAGGUCAUUUCCCUUCUUAAUCAGGUGUGGGAGGAUAAGCAAAUGGCACCAAGAGUUCAGACAUUUGCUUGGAGGCUUCUUAGGAAAGCACUUCCUACAGGCAAGAGGGCAGGUAGGUACUCCAAACAUAUCAAUGAAAACUGCUCUAGAUGUGGACUAUUAGAAGAUGAAAUGCAUAUGUUGUUUCUCUGUCCUUUUUCUAAAGCUGCAUGGUUUUGCUAUCCCUGGUUUAUUAAAACGGAAUCUCUGGCUGAAAAUUAUCAUUCUAUUCCUGAUAUGAUUCGUGCUUUGAUUACAUCUCAACAUCCAAAAAUAAACUUGACUACUCUCUAUACUUUUCUAUGGUGUCUUUGGAAAGCUCGGAACGACUGUCUAUUUUGCAGCAAAUUAUGCAAGCCUUCCCAGGUGUAUGCUUCAGCAAAUGCAAUAAUUGAAGCAACCAAUUUAGAAGAUAAGAACUUCGCUCAGCAACAAGAAAGCGAUAAAGCUCAGGAGCAGUUGCAGGAUUCUUCAACAACCACGCAUACACAUGACUGUAAUAACCUUACAGGGAAUGUCAUCUUUUGCGACGCAGCCUGGGAGAGACGCACAGAUUCAGAGCUGGGCCAUGCUGGCUUAGGAGUAAUCAUCACCAUGCAAGACAAUCGGCACCUCCAACGACUACACGUCUCUGCGCUUUCGCCUCCAGUUUCAUCACCCCUCCAGGCUGAGACUUAUGGGCUGCUACUAGCUACUAAGUUAGCAGAUCUUCUGCAGGUUCAGAACCCUCACUUUUGCACCGACUGCUCGGUGUUAGUUUCGGCGGCAAGGUCAUCAACGGUAUUUGCUGCUCCAGGAUGUUGGGAGAACAGACCUCUCCUUGCAGAGAUCCAAGCCUCUCCCUCUUUUAGUCGUAACAAGAUCACUCACAUCAACAGAAGCAACAAUGUAAAAGCUGAUCAUCAAGCUCGAUUAGCUUUGCGGAUUCAGUCAAGGUCCUUAGCUCUUCGUUGCUUAUGUACACAAGCAGAUCAAGGUCAAUGUCCCGGAAAGGACAUAGUUUCUGGUUCUAGCAUGAGUCCCUUCAUGCUUCUUUCUGUAAAAUGC
RNAcentral lists this ribosomal RNA (2034 nucleotides) under Triticum aestivum (bread wheat). RNAcentral's name for it is "partial small subunit ribosomal RNA". The record is from RNAcentral. Lineage: Eukaryota; Viridiplantae; Streptophyta; Magnoliopsida; Poales; Poaceae.